This 775-nucleotide long non-coding RNA is filed under the name Pan troglodytes (chimpanzee). Its description in RNAcentral is "long non-coding RNA NONPTRT014956". Lineage: Eukaryota; Metazoa; Chordata; Mammalia; Primates; Hominidae. The record is from RNAcentral.
AGCCUAUAGAAUUAUAUAUAAUUAUUAUAGUUUAUCCUUAUCUCUGUUUCACGGAGAGGUAAAUGAUGACCAGGGAGUUACAAAGCUUCAUAAGUUUCUCGGAAUGUGUAUUGGAGAAAAAAUAACAGUCUGGCUAAAGAGAUGAAGAGCUCAUGAGGGCGUGUCUCAAUUUAAACAAGAGUAGCAUUGGCAAUUGUUGUCCUUAUCAGCGGCCGACAAGGCGGAAUUGGAACUGCUGCUCCUGACCACCUCUACUCCACGCUAGGCUUAGGGGCUGGAGUGACCCAAGCCCUCAGGGACCUGCAGCUGCUGAAGUCCUCUCAGCACCUGCAAUAUCCCAGAGGGCAAAGACAGGGCCAAAUACUGGAUUCUGGAUUCUCUUCAUUGUUGUCCCCCUGCAAGUGGAGAGGUAUCCAGGCUGGGCCUUGUCCUAAGAUAUGACGGAACUGAAUUCUUCCAGCAAGCAUGUGAGCUUGGAAGAGAACACCAUGCGCCACACGAGAAUGCAUACUGGCCAACACCCUGUGCAAAGAUCCAGAGAAGCUGUGCUCAGAUUCCUGACUCAUGAAAAUAGUGAAUUUAUAAAUGUAUAUUGUUUUAAGAUGCUAAAUUUGUGGUGAUGUGUUACACGGCAGUAGAAAACUAAUAGAGAUAAAACUUGACAUUUGAAGUGCAUCACAUAAUGAAAUUAGUAGAUGAGAAUCUCUCUAGAAACAAGUAAAAUUUUGAGUUAAAAUGAGAGACUGGACAUAUAAUUCCUCCUCCCUCCAAAAUC